UACGACUACAUAUCAGGCAUAUCAAUAAGCGGAGGAAAAGAAACUAACAAGGAUUCCCUUAGUAACGGCGAGUGAAGCGGGAAGAGCUCAAAUUUGAAAUCUUCAAGGUUUUACCUUGACGAAUUGUAGUUUAUAGAAGUGUUUUCUGUUGAAGUUUCGGCUAAAAGUUCUUUGGAAUAGGACAUCAUAGAGGGUGAGAAUCCCGUAUUUGACCGUUAUUUUCAGCUGUGUGAUACACUUUCAAAGAGUCGGAUUGUUUGGGAAUGCAGUCCAGAAUGGGUGGUAAAUUUCGUCUAAAGCUAAAUAUUGGCGAGAGACCGAUAGCGAACAAGUACCGUGAGGGAAAGAUGAAAAGAACCUUGAAAAGAGAGUUAAACAGUACGUGAAAUUGUCAAAAGGGAAGCGUUUGACACCAGUGUUGUUUUUCCGAAAAUCAAUUACGAAUGUUUUGUUUUUGAGGAGUUAUGACUUCAUCGGCUUGCUCCUUUCUUUACGAAACUUUCUUAAUGCACUUUUCGGUUAACAAGUCAACAUCAAUUUCUUUUGUUGUAAAAGGGUAUGAGGAAGGUGGCUUUCUUUUCGGAGAAAGUGUUUAUAGCCUUGUGCCUCUGCAAUCGGAGAGAUUGAGGUCUGCAGCGUAGAUCCUUCGGGGUUAGAUACAUUUGUGCUAAGUUAUAGUUUUUCAUAGACAACAUGUUGACUAUGAUUAAUCAUGUAGCUUACUCGUUUACGCUAUUUUACCUACGCUUAGGAUGUUGAACGCGCACAGAGUCUC
RNAcentral lists this ribosomal RNA (775 nucleotides) under uncultured Neocallimastigales. RNAcentral's name for it is "partial large subunit ribosomal RNA". It matches the Rfam family "Eukaryotic large subunit ribosomal RNA", at positions 24 to 641 of the family's 3401-position model. Lineage: Eukaryota; Fungi; Neocallimastigomycota; Neocallimastigomycetes; Neocallimastigales. The record is from RNAcentral.